GGUCGUCCGUUGCCAGGUGCCCGGCCGCCACAAUCCCCUUGUGUAUGAGAGGGCAGUGCAGCGGGGGCCGCCAUCCUCGACCUUCAAUUACUGGUCAGCAAUGGCGAUGCGAAUAGAAAGGUCAGCAUCUGGCCCUGUAGAAGUUCAGUUUGUUUAUUUUCUGAAGUUUUUAAAGUGGAGUAUAACCAUGCAUAUUUUGUAGGGCCCUGUGAAGUAUAGUUUGUUUCGCUUCUGAAAUUCAGCUUGUUGAUUUUCUAAAGUUCACUUUGUUGAUUUCCUAAAGUUCAGUUUUUUGAUUUUUUGAAGAGAAAGGUUGCUUCACUUGCACCCUAUCUAGUCGUCUUCUGAAGUUCAGCUUGUUGACUUUUUGAAGAUCAAUUUGUUGAUUUCCUGUGUGGUUAUCUCAUCGAGUCCUCCUUAGUUCGGAGCUAGAGGCGGUUCUUCAGCUUCCCUGCUGCGCUCUCGCAAUUGUCGGUAAGUAAUCCUUGUUCUACUCUUUCCUUGUAGUAAUGCUUGUUGGGUUCCCCUCCUGGUUUGGAAAUAUAAUAAUACAAGUUUGUCAUUGCGCUAUGUUCAUAUGAUUACAAUAGAAGAGAAAAGUAACAAAGGGUCAGAACCAAACCAGAGUGAAACAUACCAAUCAUAACAUGGUUAUUUGCAACGAACUCUAGUCAUUUGUUGAUCUAACUGCAGCAGAGACAAAAUUUAUACAAGAGGCACUGUAGCACCCGAUAAGAUGGGGAGAGGAUGUGCGGUGAAGAAAAAACAUAGGUUUUCAAACCGGCCAUUGGUGGUAGCAUCUAAUCAUUUUGCCAUGUAAUGAACAUGUGUAUGUAUGUACAGUAGCAUAUUUUACUCGAACUGAGUUACUCUAUUAUGUAUGAAGUAUGUGCAGACAAGAACGCAUGUAUUAACCUUCUAAUUGUUACACUUGGUGUGUACGCAUUUUGCUUUUGCUUUGCGUUUGGCUAAUAAAUGGUGUCCGCCUAUAUGUUUGUAGUUAUUGGUUAAAUGUUGUCCACCUAUAUGUUUGUAGUUAUUGAUUAUUAUAACUGAAUUUAUUUAUUUUGGUUUGCAACGUACAACACAAUAACUUUUUGGCAGAGAGUUCAACUAAAUAAUAGUUUUGGAGCAAUUAGAAAGAAGGUCAAAC
RNAcentral lists this long non-coding RNA (1153 nucleotides) under Triticum aestivum (bread wheat). RNAcentral's name for it is "long non-coding RNA (TAES_LNC005618)". Lineage: Eukaryota; Viridiplantae; Streptophyta; Magnoliopsida; Poales; Poaceae. The record is from RNAcentral.